AUGAAGAACGUAGCGAAAUGCGAUAAGUAAUGUGAAUUGCAGAAUUCAGUGAAUCAUCGAAUCUUUGAACGCACAUUGCGCCCGCCAGUAUUCUGGCGGGCAUGCCUGUCCGAGCGUCAUUUCAACCAUCAAGCCCCGGGCUUGUGUUGGGGACCUGCGUCCGACGCAGGCCCUGAAAACCAGUGGCGGGCUCGCUGUCCACACCGAGCGUAGUAACUAACCUCGCUAUGGAGUGGCGCGGGCGCCUGCCGUAAAACCCCCAAUUUCACAAGGUUGACCUCGGAUCAGGUAGGAAUACCCGCUGAACUUAAGCAUAUCAAUAAGCGGAGGA
This 331-nucleotide unclassified non-coding RNA is filed under the name soil metagenome. RNAcentral's name for it is "partial contains 5.8S ribosomal RNA, internal transcribed spacer 2, and large subunit ribosomal RNA". The stretch from base 1 to 119 matches the Rfam family "5.8S ribosomal RNA", at positions 36 to 154 of the family's 154-position model. The record is from RNAcentral.